Molecule: transfer RNA, 73 nt
Filed under: Bacillota bacterium
Lineage: Bacteria; Bacillati; Bacillota
Description: tRNA-Lys
Rfam family: tRNA
About the family: Transfer RNA (tRNA) molecules are approximately 80 nucleotides in length.
Source: RNAcentral
GUGCUAUUAGCUCAGUUGGUAGAGCACCUGACUCUUAAUCAGGGUGUCCGGGGUUCGAGUCCCCGAUGGCACA